AAUGAUCAAACCAGCCUUUACUGGCAACAAGAAGUCCUUCGGUUGGCUUGUAAUUAGUUUUCUUUCAGUGCAACAACUAACUUCAAUGAUUCAGCCUGAAUGCUAGCCAAAUUGACUAGGGUCUGUUCUUAAUACAAUUUAUUUAAAUUACGUGAUAAAGCUAUCUAUCUAUCUAUCUAUCUAUCUAUUUAUUUAUUUAUUUUUUGAGACAGAGUUUCGCUCUUGUUGCCCAGGCUGGAGGCAAUGGCGCAAUCUCAGCUUACUGCAGCCUCCACCCUCCCGGGUUCAAGGGAUUCUCUUGGCUCAGCCUCCUGAGUAGUUGGGAUUACAGGUUCCGCCUUCACACCUGGCUAAUUUUUUGUGUUUUUAGCAGAGACAGGGUUUCACCAUGUUGGUCAAGCUGGUCUCGAACUCCAGACCUCAGGCGAUCCACCUGCCUCGGGCCUCCCAAAGUGCUGGGAUUACAGGCGUGAGCCACCACGCCUGGCUGAAGCACUGUAACUUUUUUUUUUUUUUUUGAGAUGAAGUCUCGCUCUUGUCCCCCAGGCUGGAGUGCAAUGGCAUGAUCU
Molecule: long non-coding RNA, 569 nt
Filed under: Pan troglodytes (chimpanzee)
Lineage: Eukaryota; Metazoa; Chordata; Mammalia; Primates; Hominidae
Description: long non-coding RNA NONPTRT000959
Source: RNAcentral